This 411-nucleotide ribosomal RNA is filed under the name Limosilactobacillus reuteri. RNAcentral describes it as "partial 23S ribosomal RNA". It matches the Rfam family "Bacterial large subunit ribosomal RNA", at positions 2448 to 2855 of the family's 2925-position model. Lineage: Bacteria; Bacillati; Bacillota; Bacilli; Lactobacillales; Lactobacillaceae. The record is from RNAcentral.
CUCAACGGAUAAAAGCUACCCUGGGGAUAACAGGCUUAUCUCCCCCAAGAGUCCACAUCGACGGGGAGGUUUGGCACCUCGAUGUCGGCUCAUCGCAUCCUGGGGCUGUAGUCGGUCCCAAGGGUUGGGCUGUUCGCCCAUUAAAGCGGUACGCGAGCUGGGUUCAGAACGUCGUGAGACAGUUCGGUCCCUAUCCGUCGCGGGCGUAGGAAAUUUGAGAGGACCUGUCCUUAGUACGAGAGGACCGGGAUGGACAUACCGCUGGUGUACCAGUUGUUCCGCCAGGAGCACCGCUGGGUAGCUAUGUAUGGACGAGAUAAACGCUGAAAGCAUCUAAGUGUGAAACUCGCCUCGAGAUGAGAUUUCCCAUUUCCUUCGGGAAAGUAAGACCCCUCAGAGAUGAUGAGGUAG